GACGAACGCUGGCGGCGUGCUUAACACAUGCAAGUCGAACGGAAAGGCCCUGCUUUUGCGGGGUGCUCGAGUGGCGAACGGGUGAGUAACACGUGAGUAACCUGCCCUUGACUUUGGGAUAACUUCAGGAAACUGGGGCUAAUGCCGGAUAGGAGCUCCUGCUGCAUGGUGGGGGUUGGAAAGUUUCGGCGGUUGGGGAUGGACUCGCGGCUUAUCAGCUUGUUGGUGGGGUAGUGGCUUACCAAGGCUUUGACGGGUAGCCGGCCUGAGAGGGUGACCGGCCACAUUGGGACUGAGAUACGGCCCAGACUCCUACGGGAGGCAGCAGUGGGGAAUAUUGCACAAUGGGCGGAAGCCUGAUGCAGCAACGCCGCGUGCGGGAUGACGGCCUUCGGGUUGUAAACCGCUUUCGCCUGUGACGAAGCGUGAGUGACGGUAAUGGGUAAAGAAGCACCGGCUAACUACGUG
Molecule: ribosomal RNA, 468 nt
Filed under: uncultured bacterium
Lineage: Bacteria
Description: partial 16S ribosomal RNA
Rfam family: Bacterial small subunit ribosomal RNA
Source: RNAcentral